Molecule: non-coding RNA, 419 nt
Organism: Schizosaccharomyces pombe (fission yeast)
Lineage: Eukaryota; Fungi; Ascomycota; Schizosaccharomycetes; Schizosaccharomycetales; Schizosaccharomycetaceae
Source: the annotation of a GenBank genome assembly
AAAGAAGAAAACGAAAAUAAUUGUUUCUAAAAUCGGUCUUAUUUCACAAUGAUAAUGACUCAGAACGAAAGACAAUUCAAAGGGGAAAAAUUUCUCUACCUACCGGUUAAAGUAAACUUCUUCUAGUCUAUGAAAAGAGGAAAUUCAGCUCUUGUUCUAACAAUAUUCGUUUUGAAUAGCAAAUGACUGCUAUUCACAGACUGUACAAGGGUCAGAGGUACCCGAAAAGUUGUGAACUUGCUUGCCCGCAAGGGAGAAUGCAUUAUAUAUGAUUAGAAUAAGGAAUUUCAAACUACCGAAAGUAAAACUAAAAUUACGAGUUCGUUGCGGUUCUUAAAGCACAAUAUAUCAUCGUCCACUAGGAAAAUUCGAGGAAAAUAGGAUCAGCAGGAGUGAAAGUAUAACACCAAUUACUACGG